GGCGGAGGGAAGCUCAUCGGUGGGGCUACGAGCGGAGUGCUUUGCGUCACUCUAUCACAUGUCCCCUGGGAAGGUCUGAGACUAGGGCCAUUUAAGCGGCCCUAACAGGGUCCUCCCUGAGUCUCGGGGAGGUGAGUUCCCAGAGAACGGGUCUCCGCGCGAGGGCAGACUGGGCAGGAGAUGCUACGGGCCCCGCCUUCCGGGAGGGGCCUGGCGGAUGCCUCCUUAGCCGGAGCUUGGAAAAGACUCACGGCCAGCGAAGUGAGUUCAAUGGCUGAGGUGAGGUACCCUACCGGGGCCUCAUAACCCAAUUCAGACUACUCUCCCCCGCC
Molecule: RNase P RNA, 332 nt
Filed under: Suricata suricatta (meerkat)
Lineage: Eukaryota; Metazoa; Chordata; Mammalia; Carnivora; Herpestidae
Description: Nuclear RNase P (ENSSSUG00005004794.1)
Rfam family: Nuclear RNase P
About the family: Ribonuclease P (RNase P) is a ubiquitous endoribonuclease, found in archaea, bacteria and eukarya as well as chloroplasts and mitochondria. Its best characterised activity is the generation of mature 5'-ends of tRNAs by cleaving the 5'-leader elements of precursor-tRNAs.
Source: Rfam by way of RNAcentral